Molecule: ribosomal RNA, 465 nt
Filed under: uncultured bacterium
Lineage: Bacteria
Description: partial 16S ribosomal RNA
Rfam family: Bacterial small subunit ribosomal RNA
Source: RNAcentral
GAUAAACGCUGACAGAAUGCUUAACACAUGCAAGUCGAUGAUGGGAGCUAGCUUGCUAGAAGAAGUCAUGGCGGACGGGUGAGUAACGUGUAAAGAACUUACCAUAUAGACUGGGAUAACAGAGGGAAACUUCUGAUAAUGCUGGAUAAGUUAGUAGUAGCAUUACUAAGUAAUGAAAGGUAGCAAUACGCUAUAUGAGAGCUUUGCAUCCUAUUAGCUAGUUGGUGGGGUAAAAGCCUACCAAGGCGAUGAUAGGUAGCCGGCCUGAGAGGGUGGACAGCCACAAGGGGACUGAGAUACGGCCCUUACUCCUACGGGAGGCAGCAGUGGGGAAUAUUGGACAAUGGAGGCAACUCUGAUCCAGCAAUUCUGUGUGUGUGAAGAAGGUUUUAGGACUGUAAAACACUUUUAGUAGGGAAGAAAGAAAUGACGGUACCUACAGAAGAAGCGACGGCUAAAUACGUG